RNAcentral lists this ribosomal RNA (492 nucleotides) under uncultured bacterium. Its description in RNAcentral is "partial 16S ribosomal RNA". It matches the Rfam family "Bacterial small subunit ribosomal RNA", at positions 29 to 507 of the family's 1533-position model. The record is from RNAcentral.
AGUGAACGCUGGCGGUAGGCCUAACACAUGCAAGUCGAACGGCAGCAUAGUAAGAGCUUGCUCUUACGGGUGGCGAGUGGCGGACGGGUGAGGAAUACAUCGGAAUCUACUUUUUCGUGGGGGAUAACGUAGGGAAACUUACGCUAAUACCGCAUACGACCUACGGGUGAAAGCAGGGGAUCUUCGGACCUUGCGCGAUUGAAUGAGCCGAUGUCGGAUUAGCUAGUUGGCGGGGUAAAGGCCCACCAAGGCGACGAUCCGUAGCUGGUCUGAGAGGAUGAUCAGGCAAACUGGAACUGGGACACGGUCCAGACUCCUACGGGAGGCAGCAGUGGGGAAUAUUGGACAAUGGGCGCAAGCCUGAUCCAGCCAUACCGCGUGGGUGAAGAAGGCCUUCGGGUUGUAAAGCCCUUUUGUUGGGAAAGAAAAGCAGCAGGUUAAUACCCCGCUGUUCUGACGGUACCCAAAGAAUAAGCACCGGCUAACUUCGUG